UACGGAGGGGGCUAGCGUUGUUCGGAAUUACUGGGCGUAAAGCGCGCGUAGGCGGGCUGUUAAGUCGGGGGUGAAAUCCCGGGGCUCAACCCCGGAACUGCCUUAGAUACUGGCAGCCUAGAGGAAGGCAGAGGCUAGUGGAAUGGCGAGUGUAGAGGUGAAAUUCGUAGAUAUUCGCCGGAACACCAGUGGCGAAGGCGCCUGGCUGGGCCUUUUCUGACGCUGAGGUGCGAAAGCGUGGGGAGGAAACAGG
This 253-nucleotide ribosomal RNA is filed under the name uncultured bacterium. RNAcentral describes it as "partial 16S ribosomal RNA". It matches the Rfam family "Bacterial small subunit ribosomal RNA", at positions 524 to 776 of the family's 1533-position model. The record is from RNAcentral.